Molecule: ribosomal RNA, 253 nt
Filed under: uncultured bacterium
Lineage: Bacteria
Description: partial 16S ribosomal RNA
Rfam family: Bacterial small subunit ribosomal RNA
Source: RNAcentral
UACGUAGGGGGCAAGCGUUGUCCGGAAUCAUUGGGCGUAAAGAGCGUGUAGGCGGCCCGAUAAGUCCGCUGUGAAAGUCCAGGGCUCAACCCUGGGAUGCCGGUGGAUACUGUCGGGCUCGAGUCCGGAAGAGGAGUGUGGAAUUCCUGGUGUAGCGGUGAAAUGCGCAGAUAUCAGGAGGAACACCAAUGGCGAAGGCGGCAUCCUGGACCGGCAUUGACGCUGAGGCGCGAAAGCCAGGGGAGCAAACGGG